GUGGAGUAAAUUAUUUAAAUUACGUUUACAAGUCUUCUUCCAUGUCAGUCGGGAAUUUCAUUUUCCCGUCUACAGCCUCAAAUCCAAAGUUCCAAGUCAAGUUGUGAGAUAUUAUUUUACACAUCACACCGAGACAAAUCAUCUUAAACCAUCCAUCACAGGCACUGACUGAAAACUCACUGCUGAUCUCCUUUACUUCCUGAAUUUAUUUCUUCUGCUCAGUUCAGUUCAAUUUGGAAAACAAUUUGUCGUCGGAGGAGUCCAUAUUUAUAGAUCCGUGUUCAUUAAAAAACUAAAUGAAAUAUUGAACGGGGGGCAAAAGAGACGGAUGCUGUGGGAAUAUUGCUCUCUGUCUCUGUAGGGGGCAGCGUCGCACAGUUUUCCGGCUGCAGCCCAGAGUGUGACUGCACAGAUUAAUCCCUGUGAUGGAAAAAUUCAUUGGGUACAUAAACGUAGCAGCAUCCCGUUUUACUAUAUCUGUCUUGCUUGGACAUAAACGUCAAAUGCUGACACACACACACAAAAAAAACAAAACAAAAAGAAAACACUUUGACUGAUUUGAUUUCAGGCUCUCAGACAGUUCAGAGCUUUGAUCUAAAUGUACCAGGAACGAAAGGACGGCCGAUGGAGGCAGUCGAGAGCUCCAGGAAAGGAAAAAACAAGCCAGUGCUUUGAAGACAGAGGCCUGCCUGUGAAGAAGUGGAGAGCAGCACUCCAAGCUGAAAGAGAGAGAGGAAGGAGGACGAGACACAGACUAAAAGCAAGAGAUCAGAGGAAAAAAUGGCGACGGAGAGAGUCGAAUUGGCAGAAGCGCUGUGCGAUGGAUAGGAGGAACGCUGACGGGAAGAGCUUCGACGAUCCACUGCAGCGUGGCGAAAGGGAGCGCGGUCGACUCUCCGUUGAAAGACGGAGACGGAUGUUACCCGGCGGUUCGUCACGUCCCCCUGUGGGGUCCGGAGGGGCCCGGCGGUGUCUCCCGCCUGCUGUCAGGCCUCUCGUUCCGUUGCCCUCUGCUCUUUUUCAACAUCUGGAGCCUGUUUAGUAUCACAAACACUGGAGCUCCAGCCAUGACAAGUCUGCUGAGAAUGACUGUUUCGGAACCUUUUUAGAGAGUGAUAGGAUUUAAGUUGAACACCGUUUAUUCCCCUCCCCCUCCGUUGCCCCUAUUCAUUACAUUCAUUGCAGCAAUCAUUCCUAAUCUAGUAGCUCUAAAUCACCAGGCCUCCUUGUGCUAACCUCAAACUGCUAAAUCAUGUUUGAGUAAAAACUUUGGUAUUUUUACUGGAAGAAAAUUUGUUGUUUUUAAUGGACGAGCCUUCCAGGAAGGCAUGCAUCACCGUGGGGCGCCUCCGUGAUCUCAAUUAACAACGGCCGCUGUAGUGCUUGCAGAUGCUGCACCGCUCGGAUUUUAACUACCUCAACGCUGUUCCUUUGCUUGUCAACACGAGUGAGUCACGUUUUUUUACGCUGAGGAUUUGUUUUUUGUUUUUUUACAUAAGCUGCAAACCACCACCAAUUUGUAGGUAGGCAUGUGUUCGCGCUCAGCCCGCCCCCUGCGGCCCGAGGAUUAGAGGCGAGCAAGCGGCUCUCUGCGAAAGCGUUUAACGCUCGGAUUUCCACGCCGCUCACUCGGAAGGUGAGCACGCCAUUCAUGUUGAGUGGUCAGCGACGUGACCUCCGCCCCCUCUCGCCCCCCCAGAUGCCCGCUCGUGGGAACCGAUCCUUCAAUUCGCCGCGUUGGUUCAGGGUCGCAAAGGUCUCCUCUCUGGUCAGAGCAGAGAUGCUACAUAAAUAAGGUUUUGGAGGUGGGGGAGUCCCAUUUGUAGCUUUUAGAGUCGAAGGUGCUGACAGCAUAUAUGCAUAUAUGUACACAAGUCAAACGUGCUGCUAAGUUAAGCUUCCAGUUGUGAUACUUUGUUUUUUAUUGAAAAAACUUUGGGCACAAAGCCAACAAAGUAUCAGUGGGGCGCAUUUUCCGCACGCAGCUGCGCUACAGUGCUCUCGUGUGUUUUGUGUGUGUGUGUGUGUGUGUACAGUCAGGAGGGGGUCGGUGUGGGAGAGGAGGAGGGAGUUCCUGGGCACCAGGCCUGUGACAGUAAAACAUUUCAGAGGCCGUCCGUCAACGGCCUAAUGGCUUCAGCAGACGGGGUCUGGAUUCUGGCUUUUCCCCACCGCUGACACCAGCGGCCAUAAAACACUGCUUGUUUGGAAUGCAAAACAUGGAUCCAAAGGAUGUGAGCAGGAACGCCGGCGGCUUACAAAAUAAAAGUCCUUCGAAGUUUUUCUUUUUUUAAAAGAAAGACGUCAGAGGAUGAGGGGUUUCGGUGUGGAGGUAGACGGAGGAAGGAAGGUGUCGGUGUUUACAGGAGGCCGUACCGACAGACCUUUAACACCCAGAGCCAAAAGGACGGGAGAGUUUAAUUAGUCUGGAAAACAAAACUACAACAACAAAAAUCACUAUUUCUUCUUUUAAUCUGAAAAAGUAAGACUAAAACAAGUGUCAGGAACUGCAUGCAUGCAUUUGAUGCUUUUAAAAUGAGUUAUUGAAGAUUAUAAGCAGUUAAAGCCAUAUGUGCAGCAGAUAACGCUGCUGGCAUCUUAGUGUAAAUCCCGAUUAACUGUUCCCUGGAUGAGCCUAAAAUAACUGGGGUUUCAGAAACAUCACAGUGGUGUCAGCAAAUGCUGUUUUAUAAACAUGUAAACCGCAUUUUUAACAAAAUUUGAUUAGAUUUUUAAUUUAUUAAGGAGAAAAUGUGGCUACAUGUCAGAAGAAUAUUUAAGAAUAUUGAGAAAAAUGGGAAGCUAUGAUGAUUACCUUGUAUUAAUCACAUAGUGAGUGGUUGCUGGAGGACUCAGCUGCAGAUGUGAUGGUGGAGGAGAUGAAAAGCAACAGCCCUAAUCCUAACCCAACAGAAGAAACGAAAAUAGUGCAAUGAGAAGUAAGUAAAGAGGAGAGAAGACUGAAAAAGAGAUUGGGUGAGUUUAGUCAGGGGGAGUGCUGAACAGCAGAAGGCCAGCAAAUGAAGGAAGGUGAAUAAAAAAUAUCUAGAAACCAAAAAGGGAAAAAGUCAAAAUCAGCAAAAAAUCCUAAACCAAAACGCUUAGAGAACAGAAACACGACAAUUAAUGGAGGAACUGACAUGUAAGGAGCGAACCUGUAUGGCAAGACCACAAUGACAAUAAUGAACAACUCUUGAGAAAUCAGAAAACAAACACAAAAAGAAAAAUCAAAACACAAACGCCACAUAAGAAUGUCACACGAGAAUCUGGAACCAUCGCCUUAGAGGGAACAAGUGGGUCCAUAGAAAGACAUACGAUGUUUUAGGGAAUAAAGAAAGUUCACAUGGGGAAGGGAAAAAACAAUCAAAAGUAGGACACAAACUGUGAUGUCUGAAAAUCCCUCAAGGCUUCUAAAACAAACCAUGUCCAAACCCCUAGCAUGUUUCCUGGUGUUGCCCCACCUCGUUCAUUCAGCGUGAAGGUUGGGUUGCAGUGAUGACCCCCUGCCUGGAGCUGCCAGACAGCAGACUGCUUAUCUAACAAGUGCUGCCAGCAAGUUACCAAUCUAAUAACAAUAAUCAAAUGAAUCAGUAGUUCUUCUAGCUGAGUUUAUGACUCACUGCCUAAAGACGGGUUCUGUUAAUGAAUGGCUUUAAUCUCAGUCUGAUAGGAGACUUUUUUCUUAUGUCUCUGUGCCGCUGAGGUCAUUGUCAUUUGUUGCUUGUUCACAAGCCACUCUCGUAGGUGUCUUUGCCAUGGAAACAAAGAUGCGAGGGUGAUCAGACGUGUGAGCAGAUCCAUCUGGAAUGAACUCGAUGCUUAUGGGGCUGUUAGCAGAGAGCUGCACUGAGUUAUGUUUGGUGACCCGCUGACGGCGGAUCUUUAACUUUCUAAUGACAGUUUUGUUGUACUUUGCUGGAUGUCUAACACUGAGCCUCUUCAGCCUCUGUUUUAUUCCAUUGUUACAGAACAAUAACCUAAAUCACCACCUGUUAGAGCUGCCUUCGAGUGGAACUAAGUUCGACAUUGAUCGACAUAUUUGAUGUGUAUUUUCUUGACGUUUUUGACAAAACUUAAUGUUUAUUGCUUGCUUCAUAAUUGCUAACUGUAUGUUUUGAUGACAGAAAGCACUUUGACUUACCUUGUUUCUGAAAUAUGCUACAAAUAAACCUGAUUUGACUUUA
Poecilia latipinna (sailfin molly) is the source of this 4184-nucleotide long non-coding RNA. RefSeq lists it as uncharacterized. The record is from RefSeq and is a predicted model, not a curated record. Lineage: Eukaryota; Metazoa; Chordata; Actinopteri; Cyprinodontiformes; Poeciliidae. The transcript is spliced from 2 exons.